CUCUCUCUCUCUCUCCUGUUUCCCCUUCUCUUCCUGCUGAAGAUGAUGCAAACAUGGACACAAAGGAUCAACUCAGUACUGUGAUGAUUAAAUGUGCAUGAAUAGAGUGGAUGCAUGUCAUGGUUAGACUAAGUGCUUCCAAAGUGAAGAGGGUUGGGGGCAAUGGCAGCUGGGGGAUAUGGAAAAGGUAGACUACUUUGGAUUGGAACACCAUAAAAAUCAAUUUAAUGCAAUAGUGGGGAACUACGUCAGAUGAUAAAUGCCAUUUAUUUCCACCCCUCACCUCUUCGUCUUGACCAGUCAACCAUUUGCUUCGUCUCUGAAUGCAUACAACGGAACGUAAUUGCACCACUUAAUGCGACGCCCAUCACACCGUUGCCAUAUUCGAGCUUCCUUCCCACGUUGAGCGGCAGCAUUUUAUUCUGAUAUCUGAAGAAACAAAAGUGAAGAAAACAGGUGUUAGAACAGAUGUCAUCGAGCAAAGAGAAGCAUGAACAAGAAGAACUGUUUUCUAAAUGCAUUGAUAUAGGAAUAACAGCACAGAUAUCACACAGACAAAACAAAAAACAAAUUGCUUUCUGUAUGCACCGAUGUAAGUCCUAUCACGACACUCAAAUCCAACCCCCUAUGACCAUCCGGAUCAUAUUGGGCAUUUCAUGUUCCCAUCAACAAUUUGUUCAUCUCCUUUUCCUUUUACAAAGUUUAAACUAUAUCAUUAAAAGCAACAAAGACGUGCCAAGAGAUGCAGAAAUACAAGUUCCAAGUUCUGAAGCAGAGUUGGCAUAUCAUAAGUUUGUCAAAGCAGAGCAGAAAAUAUGGAAGCCCACAACACACUUCAAAAUCUAGUCCUGUGUGACAAAGCUGACACAUGCAACUCAACAAAAAGGGUUCGAUAAGGAAAAGAAUUGGCACAAGCUUUCACCAGAGAUCGGCACUUUAUAAAAAUGAUAUCCUCCGACAAUGACCAGUACUUGUUUGUUUAUUUGGUUUUCACUCCACAAAAGCUGAUAGAUUCUGGAGAAAUCACAGAAUCUUUUAACAAACAGAUACAGGGUAUCAAACCAUCACACAGUACCAGACAGCUGAAGAACAAGGAACAAGUUUUUGGAUGGGCCAAAAUAUAUUGAUUCUAAUAUAUAUUUUUCAACUAUAUAUAAAUCUUUAUCUAAGUUAUCAUAGAAUCUAAUAUGUAAUAUAAGGUACUUGUAACACCCAUUUGCUUAUUAUUGUGUAACGUGCAAAUAUGUAAUAAGUGACAGUACCAUUCUGUAUCUUAGUUUGGCAUGUUCUAGGAUUUCUAUGUAAUAUUAGAUACUUGAAUUCGCCUUAAAGCUAGAUAUUGGCCACAUAUUUCAAAAUUAAAAACCUUGCUCUCCCAGUCAACCUGGCAGUAAACAGAAAAUAGAACAUUACAAUUUAAAGAUUUAAACAUGAAUAAAAUAAAACCACAAAAAAAAAGAAUUAAGAAGAUGAUGCCAUGCGGAUAUCCUAUAUUGCCCUUUCCCAGCAUCUUUUUGGUUGCUCCAUAUUAUAGCUUGCUUCUUUUCAUCCAUAGAGAAUCUUCACUAAGCUUGGACGGGUGUCUUUCCCUAGAAUGAUACUCCUUUCUACCUUGUUUUGGUGUCUUGACACCAUCGGGUGCCUAUCCGGUGAUCUAAUUGAAUUGGGUCCAGAUAUUUUUGAUAGUCUUCCUUCUUCUCUAACACUUCUCCGUCUUUCUAUUAAACUGGGCAAAAAUUCUCUCAAAUAAUUCUCUCCCUCUCUUUUAUCAAUAAAUCUUUCUACCCAUAGAACCAUAAGGGCUAUCCAUCCGAAAGUCUUUCUACCCAUAGAACCAUAAGUGCUAUCCAUCUGGACGUCCUCGUUCUCAUUACUUGAAUCAUAACCAUGUGUCUAUACCAAGCUCACAUCAUCGAUCAUUUUCUUCUUCAUCAGGAUCACUUGUCAUGACUACUAGCUGAACACCUUGACCCCUCUUUUUAUCAUGUGCAUCAUUAAAACUUUGCCUUCCAUGACUAUAAACUAAGGGACGAAAUGAAGUAGCAGAAAAACCCCUUCUAUCAUUUUAUCCCUGACCUCAACUUUGUAUAUUCUUCUCUCAAGAUCCCAGGAUGAAAGAAUUCAUUGAAUCUGGUGGUCCGUCCCAAUCUUUGAAAAUGUCUAGGCCGUCUUCCAGUUGUGAAUUGCAUGGCCAGAACCUUCCAAAUUCGUUCGAGUUCAUCCUACAUACAAAGGCAUCUGCUGGAAACUUAGAGAGAGAAUCACACUUGAUUACAUCUGAUCUAACGAAGUGCAAUGAAGAAUGCACGAUCAAAUGAAAUUCAAAACAAUUUAAGAAGUUUCGUAGCAAAGUGUAUGGCAAAGAUAAUGUAUUGUCAAAAAGAAAAGGCAUGAGAAACAAGGCAGUCAUACAGCCUUAUUGUGGAUAAAAAAGUGUUCCAAUUUUAGGCACUUGAUUUUAUAGGCUAAUGAUGGCAUACAUCACAGCGAUAUCAAUCCAAAAGUAACGUGCCACUUUGAGCAUAUUUCAAUUACAUAACUCAAAAAAACCUCUCUAUAAGUAUGCUAACAUUUAAAAGAUUAAAAGUACCUGGUUCGGAAACCUAACAGUAAGCAACCAAUUUUGACCGUCAGCACUGGACUAUGAUGAGACAAAGACCAAGAAACGUGAAAGAAGAGAUUGUGAUGAAUCAGUCCAUAUGGUAUAUCCAGUCGUACUACUCCAAUUAUUUUAUCAAAAGAUAUUUCAAGAAUUAUGCUAAAUGAGAAAUAUUUAUUAAAAAAAAUGCAAAAAAAAAACCUGUCGAUAAAAAAUCUAAAAAGAAAAGAUUUUUCAGAAAUUAGCCCAAUUCUUCUUCCCGGCUAGCCAAGUCUUCAACAACGACACAUGAAGACUAUGUCAUCGUUGGUCCUCGGUGCUUUGGCCCUCAGUAAAGGCUUAUCAUUCCUGACAUUGCCUCACCAAUGCACGCCAGCCAAUCAUCCAUCCAACACAAUUACUCGUUUAUUGUCACCACGUCAAGGACGAGGCUGGAUUCCUCUGCCAUUUGUGGUUAGAAUCAAGAAAAUGAUCUCUUAAUACAGCGUGGUGCAAAUGCAUCCGUCGGAUCAUGAUCUGACGAUCACUAGCUACGGAACUCAAAAUUAACUAUCACUCGAGUACGUACUGAUAUAACCGGAGUCCAAUCAACACGUAUUUUAAAGACAGUGGCAGAAUAGUGAUCGGCGGAAUGUUCUUGUGCGACAAUUGAGCCAUUUUUCUUAUUUUUAUUUAUUUA
Molecule: long non-coding RNA, 3278 nt
Filed under: Musa acuminata (dwarf banana)
Lineage: Eukaryota; Viridiplantae; Streptophyta; Magnoliopsida; Zingiberales; Musaceae
Description: long non-coding RNA (MACU_LNC003163)
Source: RNAcentral